GCCUGGCUAGCUCAGUCGGUAUAGCAUGAGACUAUUAAUUUCAGGGUCGUGGGUUCAAGCCCCACGUUGGGCG
This 73-nucleotide transfer RNA is filed under the name Danio rerio (zebrafish). RNAcentral describes it as "tRNA-Asn (ATT) (tRNA-Asn-ATT-6-1)". It matches the Rfam family "tRNA". From Rfam's summary of the family: Transfer RNA (tRNA) molecules are approximately 80 nucleotides in length. Their secondary structure includes four short double-helical elements and three loops (D, anti-codon, and T loops). The record is from Rfam by way of RNAcentral. Lineage: Eukaryota; Metazoa; Chordata; Actinopteri; Cypriniformes; Danionidae.